CCUACGGGCGGCUGCAGUGGGGAAUAUUGGACAAUGGGGGCAACCCUGAUCCAGCCAUGCCGCGUGUGUGAAGAAGGUCCUCGGGUUGUAAAGCACUUUCAGUGAGGAAGAACGCCUGGUGGUUAAUACCCAUCAGGAAAGACAUCACUCACAGAAGAAGCACCGGCUAACUCCGUGCCAGCAGCCGCGGUAAUACGGAGGGUGCGAGCGUUAAUCGGAAUUACUGGGCGUAAAGCGCGCGUAGGUGGCUUGAUAAGCCGGUUGUGAAAGCCCCGGGCUCAACCUGGGAACGGCAUCCGGAACUGUCAAGCUAGAGUGCAGGAGAGGAAGGUAGAAUUCCCGGUGUAGCGGUGAAAUGCGUAGAGAUCGGGAGGAAUACCAGUGGCGAAGGCGGCCUUCUGGACUGACACUGACACUGAGGUGCGAAAGCGUGGGUAGCGAACAGGAUUAGAUACCCUAGUAGUC
Molecule: ribosomal RNA, 465 nt
Filed under: Vreelandella stevensii
Lineage: Bacteria; Pseudomonadati; Pseudomonadota; Gammaproteobacteria; Oceanospirillales; Halomonadaceae
Description: partial 16S ribosomal RNA
Rfam family: Bacterial small subunit ribosomal RNA
Source: RNAcentral